This 524-nucleotide ribosomal RNA is filed under the name uncultured delta proteobacterium. RNAcentral's name for it is "bacterial SSU rRNA". It matches the Rfam family "Bacterial small subunit ribosomal RNA", at positions 23 to 523 of the family's 1533-position model. Lineage: Bacteria; Deltaproteobacteria. The record is from RNAcentral.
CUCAGAACGAACGCUGGGCGGCGUGCCUAACACAUGCAAGUCGAGCGAGAAAGGGGGGCAACCCCUGAGUAAAGCGCGCACGGGUGAGUAACACGUAGGUGACCUACCCUCGCAGCCCGGGAUAACCUACCGAAAGGUGGGCUAAUACCGGAUAUGACCACGGGAGUUUCGACUCCUGCGGUGAAAGAUGGCCUCUGCUUGCAAGCCAUCACUCGGGGAGGGCCUGCGCGCCAUUAGCUAGUUGGCGGGGUAAUGGCCCACCAAGGCGAUGAUGGCUAGCUGGUCUGAGAGGAUGACCAGCCACACUGGGACUGAAACACGGCCCAGACUCCUACGGGAGGCAGCAGUGGGGGAUAUUGCGCAAUGGGCGAAAGCCUGACGCAGCGACGCCGCGUGGGUGAUGAAGGCCUUCGGGUCGUAAAGCCCUGUCGAGGGGGAAGAACCAGCCACGGUCGAACAGGCCGUGGCCCUGACGGUACCCCUAAAGGAAGCACCGGCUAACUCCGUGCCAGCAGCCGCGGUAA